Molecule: long non-coding RNA, 1191 nt
Organism: Oncorhynchus tshawytscha (Chinook salmon)
Lineage: Eukaryota; Metazoa; Chordata; Actinopteri; Salmoniformes; Salmonidae
Source: Ensembl
GUUUGUCUCUCCUGGUGUGGUGUCUGGAGGAGUUGGGGUUUGCCUCUCCUGGUGUGGUGUCUAGAGGAGUAGGGGUUUGUCUCUCCUGGUGUCUAGAGGAGUAGGGGUUUGUCUCUCCUGGUGUCUGGAGGAGUAGGGGAUUUGUCUCUCCUGGUGUGGUGUCUGGAGGUGUAGGGUUUUGUCUUUCCUGGUGUGGUGUCUGGAGGAGUAGGGGGUUUGUCUCUCCUGUUGUGGUUUCUGGAGGAGUAGGGGUUGUCUCUCCUGGUGUGGUGUCUAGAGGAGUAGGGGUUUGUCUCUCCUGGUGUCUGGAGGAGUAGGGGGAUUGUCUCUCCUGGUGUAGAGAUGUAGAGCUUUCUCUCUCCUGGUGUGGUGUCUAGAGGAGUAGGGGGUUGUCUCUCCUGGUCUGGUGUCUGGAGGAGUAGGUGGUUUGUCUCUCCUGGUGUGGUGUCUGGAGGAAUAAGGGUUUGUCUCUCCUGGUGUGGUGUCUAGAGGAGUUGGGGUUUUGUCUCUCCUGGUGUGGUGUCUGGAGGUGUAGGGGUUUGUCUCUCCUGGUGUGGUGUCUGGAGGAGUAGGGGAUUUGUCUCUCCUGGUGUGUUGUAUGGAGGUGUAGGGGUUUGUCUAUCCUGGUGUGGUGUCUGGAGGAGUAGGGGUUUGUCUCUCCUGGUGUGGUGUCUGAAGGAGCAGGGGGUUUGUCUUUCCUGUUGUGGUGUCUGGAAGAGUAGGGGUUUGUCUCUCCUGGUGUUGUGUCUGGAGGAGUCGGGGUUUGUCUCUCCUGGUGCGGUGUCUAGAGGACAGGGGGUUUGUCUUUCCUGUUGUGGUGUCUGGAAGAGUAGGGGUUUGUCUCUCCUGGUGUUGUGUCUGGAGGAGUCGGGGUUUGUCUCUCCUGGUGCGGUGUCUAGAGGAGUUGGGGUUUGUCUCUCCUGGUGUCUGGAGGAGUAGGGGGUUUGUCUCUCCUGGUGUGCUGUCUAGAGGAGUAGGGGUUUGUCUCUCCUGGUCUGGUGUCUGGAUGAGUAGGUGGUUUGUCUCUUAUGGUGUGGUGUCUGGAGGAAUAAGGGUUUGUCUCUCCUGGUGUGGUGUCUGGAGGAGUUGGGGUUUUGUCUCUCCUGGUGUGGUGUCUGGAGGUGUAGGGUUUUGUCUCUCCCGGUGUGGUGUCUGGAGGAGUAGGUGGUUUGUCUCUCAUUGUUACGUUCC